UUUGCUUAAAAGGUGCAAUUGCAUCACUACCAGAUGGACCUGCGUUGUAUUAGCUAGUUGGUGGGGUAACGGCUCACCAAGGCGACGAUACAUAGCCGACCUGAGAGGGUGAUCGGCCACACUGGGACUGAGACACGGCCCAGACUCCUACGGGAGGCAGCAGUAGGGAAUCUUCGGCAAUGGACGGAAGUCUGACCGAGCAACGCCGCGUGAGUGAAGAAGGUUUUCGGAUCGUAAAGCUCUGUUGUAAGAGAAGAACGAGUGUGAGAGUGGAAAGUUCACACUGUGACGGUAUCUUACCAGAAAGGGACGGCUAACUACGUGCCAGCAGCCGCGGUAAUACGUAGGUCCCGAGCGUUGUCCGGAUUUAUUGGGCGUAAAGCGAGCGCAGGCGGUUAGAUAAGUCUGAAGUUAAAGGCUGUGGCUUAACCAUAGUACGCUUUGGAAACUGUUUAACUUGAGUGCAAGAGGGGAGAGUGGAAUUCCAUGUGUAGCGGUGAAAUGCGUAGAUAUAUGGAGGAACACCGGUGGCGAAAGCGGCUCUCU
This 546-nucleotide ribosomal RNA is filed under the name uncultured Bacilli bacterium. Its description in RNAcentral is "bacterial SSU rRNA". It matches the Rfam family "Bacterial small subunit ribosomal RNA", at positions 195 to 730 of the family's 1533-position model. The record is from RNAcentral. Lineage: Bacteria; Bacillati; Bacillota; Bacilli.